UUUCAAGAGUGAGCUCGACCCAAGCUGAACCACACCGAGAUCAAGCCAUGACAGUCCUGGCCUUUGGCGCCGCCGCUACCUGGCCGGAGGCCAUCGUCCAGUGCCUCCUCUUCGUCCUCGCCGCGGGUAUGCUCGUGGCCCUCCACUCCCUCCCCCGCCGAGUUGCCCAUCGUCUCCGCCGCGGCGCCGGCGGCUCCUCGGCCGCUCAAUCGCGCCGGCACUUCGCGCUGGGUGCCCAGCUCCUCGCCCGCGCGCGAGCCGCUGCUCCGAAGCCCCCGGGCCCGCUCGCCCGCGCGGCCCUCGCCGAGGCCGACCGCGCCAUCGCGCUCGACCCCCGCGACGCAGCGCCGCUGAUCCUCAAGGCCCUCGCCCUCGACCUCCAGGGUCACCGCCUCCCGGCGCUGCGCACCCUCGACGUCGCCCUGGCGCCGCCGCUCGCGCGAUCCCUGGAACCGCGGGAGCGCGGGGACGCGCUCGCCAAGCGCGCCGAGAUCACGCUAGCGCUUAACCGCCGCCGCCGCCUCGACCAGGCCGCCGCGGAUCUCACCGAGGCCGUCCGCCUUAGCCCCGAGAACCCCCGCGCUCAUGCCCUGCUUGGCGAGUGCUACGAGAGGAGGGGCCUCGCUGCCGAAGCCAGGAACUCCUUCAAGACCGCCGCGUCAAUCGACCCAUCUCUUGCUACCGCGCACGACGGCCUCCGUCGGACAGGCGCAGGCAGCGAAGUCAACGAGAGUGACUGAUCGAAACAGUCCCACUUGCUAGGCAGUAGGUGGCUGUGCGGGCGUGCUGACGAUGGGGCGAUUCCCCCUGUAUCUCUCUCUCAAAGAAAAUCCCCCACGAGACGGCGACCUCCUCGGCUUCUCCAGCACGCGCUAUUGCGUCGUCACCCUUGAUACGGUGGCUUUCCUGCCUCGCGGCCGCUCCUCCGGCUUUCCUGCUUCUGUGCACCGUCGUUAUUCUCGUGGGCUUGCGGUACUGGCGGCAGAUGGGGGUGGCGGCUGGAUCUGGACAGCAAGGGCGGCAGAUUAAAGAGAGACAAAGAAGCCCUGGUCUAGAGAUGAUGCUCCUCAUCGCGCUGUCGAAGCACCAAGAACCACGUCCAGGUCAUGGGGCCGUUGAUGGGAGAUCGACAUCUUACCUGGGCACUACUCCUGCACGCCGGCGUCAUGGCCAAGCAAGGCCUGCUGGUAAUUUCGUUCCCCUUUCAUAUUUGGGUCAGCAGCGGCUGCUUGAGGGUGUACAGUUCCAGAUGAUAGCCCUUUUCCCCUUAAUUUUUUGCACUAACCUCUUCUCUAUACUACAUGUGCUUCAUGGUGAAAAGCGAGGACAGCAAUUUGACAGUUAUAAUAUGUGUAGGUGCAUAUAUGAGUAGCUUUAUGAAAAAAGUAGAUGCAUAUAUAUGUAUUUCUUGGGCAAAUCUAUCUGUGUACAAAUAGAUGCAUAUAGCAUAUAAAGCUACUGAUAUAAGAAAUAGUUAUUGCCCCUUCAUGGAAAUUGGCUUCAGUGGCUACAUAAUUAUUUUCUCAUUGUGUUUUAGUUAACAUUUAUGCGAAUCACAGAAAAAAAAAGUGUAUGUAUCUGCAUAGUCGCCGGAUCCACACCACUGGUGACCAUGGCUUAGCAUAGGAACACCCCCGGAUCACACUCUUGCAACAGGUGGUUUAGUUCACAUGGCUUCAAUUUUGGCUAUGUGAUGAGGUCAUCCCCUUCUCUCCUUUUUGAGAAUUUUGAGUUCGAUUUUACAUUUAUUUCAGGUUAAGUAGUACUGAAUGAUGUAUUUUUGCAUGCUUUCUGCAGUCUAUGCAUGUUCGUGGUUAUACAGGUUGGAGCCUGCAACUGAUAGUAAGCUCAGUCUUAAUCUAUGCAUUGUUCUACAUGUUUGUUGGCAGAUAGAGAUAAAAAGGGAAAGUGAACAUAUGGUGAUUGAAUUUACUUCCUGCAUCUAUAGUAUUUUACACCAAUGCAACAUUUGUGAAAUCGAGAUAGUAUAUUUAUUUGCCACAUGUAUUGUGUUGCCCCUGAAUGUAAUACUGUUCGGUUAUAUCUUGGUAUUUACGUUAUCUGAAUCACUUCGUUUUGAUACGUGCAUUGCCAUUUUCAAAAGUAUAUCCAUUGUUCCUUCCUGGUGGUCAAGUGGCAAUGCAGAGCAUGCUGGUGAACUUUCAAACUCAUCUGCUUUCGUGUUGAUGAUAUGUAGACAAAAGAGCAAGACAUAGAGUAGUUAAUUUAGACCGAUGACUUUGUACGGGCAAUGCAAAGCUAGAAGUGAUCGAUAUGCUUCAGGAGGCAACGAAGCAGAUUGAAGGCCACACGAUCUGCGCCCUCAGGGAUGCUGCAGCAUGGCCUGUGCAGGGUCUUAUCAGGCACUUCAGGCCUGAGCUGGAAAGGAGGAUCCGCGAUCGAGUUGAUAACGAGCUGCUGAUGGCAGCUUCUGCAUGAGCACCACUUCUAUUUUCCUGAUUUUAUUCACAGAAAUAAUGCAAACUGGUGAACUCAUUUCUGUACAAGCAAAUGUAGGUUACCUUAUUGGUUUGAACCUUUUUAUGUCCAUGUUUUAUUUGAUGCGCUGAUGAAGCCGGUGUACUUUGAUGGAGAAGUAGAAACGAAUAUGAAGGAUUGUACCCUGUAUGUUGCAUGAGCCUGAUUUUCUUCCUCUUUAAUUUUGUAGAGAAUGACUUGCUUCUAAAUCCUCAUAAUCUGACUGAACUCUAAAAAUAUGUUGGCAUCUGAUGGUUAAUGUUUUCUUAAGUUGAUUUUUUUUUGAAUUUUUGCUUAAGUUGAUCUUAAUAAUGGAUUGGUGGGCCACUUCUAUUCGGCUUCCUGAACAGCAGGCAGCCGAAGCUAAAACGAAGCCAUAGUUCUGUAUAUGCAACAUAUACUAAUGUUUUCUUAUGUGUUUGUAACUAAUUCUCUCACUUCUAUUUCAUUUUUCUCUCAAGAGUCAAGACGGAAGGUCUCUGAACACGUGGCUAUUCCUUCCAUAUGGCACUAUUAAAUUGUGAAACAUCAUUAUUUUUUUAUGUAGCUGUAACUUUUAGCGAAAAUCCAAGAAAAAACUGAUGAAGAGAAUCCUGAUUCGUUUCCUUCCCUCUUCCCCGCUGCUCCGCGCCGCGCCGCCGCUUCUAACGCCCCGGUUGUCUUGUGUGCAGCUUUGGACAUGCACGCCGCCGGCCCCAACCCCCAACACCCCGCCGCUUCGCUGUCCCUUCUCCGCCUCCAGCAUCCCCGCUACCCCGCCCGCCUCCACCUGCUCUGCCUCUUGCAUCUCCGCAGCCGCCUCCCUGUCCCCGCGCCCCUGGUCGCCGCUCCAUCACCCAUCCCCUCUGGCUUCCAGAGUCGGGAAGGACUGGGUGAGGUCGCAAGGGAGAGAGAGGCCUCGUGAUGUGUUUUCCUCCUCCUAGGCCUCCUCCACUGCCGCAAGAUCCAUCCCGAGGUGACCUCUUUUGUUCUUGAUUUGCUCUGUAAAUCGAAAUGAGAAUCUUUCUUCUUUCUCCUCUUCUUCAACCUAACCCUGGUUAGUUUGUUUUGGCGUCUGAUCAACCAUGGUGACUAUAUGAGUAUAUGGCUGCAUCUGAGCACCCGUUCUUCAAGUGCUACCACUCAAUUGAUUGAAUCUCCAAAGAGGUUGUCUGAAAAAUCCAAGUAAGUAAUGUAAGUGCAAGUAAAAUUUGUGGGAGGCUACGGCUCAAUCGAUUGCGUCUCAAAUGCAUCAACGCAGCUUACGGUGAUUUUUGAAACCUGUCAUGUAUGCAUGCCUUAAAAACAACUAAAAAUUUAAUUGCACCAAAUGAAUGGGAAUGUUAAAUUUGUUUGUUUCAGUACCUAUAUUCUAAAGAGCCCCACCCAUGUUGUUUCCCUUGAGAUUUAGACUUCUAGAGAAACCAAUUUGCUGACAGAUACUGGGACAUCGCUCACUUGCACAUUGCUGUUACUGAAGUCCACAUACAUGAGCUUCCUCAAUCCUUGGAGACCUGAGGAAUCGUUUGCUUCAGAAUAAGAUGGUUUAUAUGAAAAAAGCUCCCAAGUAAAAUUAAAGUUUCACCCAUGCAACAGUACGAGUUACAUACCCUAAAAAAUUUGAAACCAAGCGUGUUGUCCAGAAAAGUUCAGUAGCUGAAGCUCCCAAAAUAGGCUCGCGGGGAUCCAUGUCAUCUUCCGUUCGAUUACACAGGGUUUGAUCUUCUUCCUUUCUCCUUUAAUUCUUUGUCUGCUCUUUGAUGUUCUACUUGCGGAUUGGAGCUGCUGUCAGAACAGCGGUAUAUGUGUUCUAUUCCGUUUAAGUAUAAGGUUGUGCGGCCUUUUUUGCUCCAUAUUUCCUGAACUCAUAGUUCAUUUCCCUGUUAUGUGUAGAUCUGCAGGCAGCAUGCAAGAUCAUUUGGUUCGUCAGUUUAGUUAGAACUCCCAUUGUUGAUUUCUCUUCCUAAUGUAAGCCUUGGUGUUGCAUUCAUCAGGUGUGUUGCUAUUUCGUAUACAGUUCUGAAUGAUUAGUGCCAAGAAGUGAGCUCCAAACUAGGGCACAUGUCUUUCAAGUACAAUAAAAAGAUUACAGUUAACUUGUUGAGUAAUAAUAUAUGAUUGCUGGUGCCUCCUGAUUUGUGUGAUAAACAAAUGGUGUACAUUUUGUGUGUAAAUCCGAGAUUCCUCGAAAGGUUGGGAAGUGAACUUAUUGAACUUGUUAGCCCUGUUUAAUUCGGUAGCAUGUCAAACUUGAUGUUCGUUUCGGCCCAUAGCCUUUUCCCUGAAAAAGUUUGAAAGUGUGAAUUAUCUCUCUAUCAAGUAUUAGCUUUUUUGUUCUUUGAACAAGCCCCAUUCACGCUGACUAUAUGGGAACAGUAAAACAAGCUAACAUGGACCAUCAUGAUGAUUUCUUGGUAUGUUGAUCAUCAUUGAUUUUAAGAGUUGAAUGGGAGUGAGCGAGCUUCUAUUCACUUGUUGCCGUCUACGUAUGUACACUUUGUGACAUCGGUGAGUAAUGUACAUAUGAUUUCUCUUACCAUCAAAGACAUCAUAUGAAUGAUAUAGGAACCCAUGGAUCCAGUUGAAUCACACAUGUAAAGAAGGACGAGCUAGCUAUAUAGUUAGAUGCAUAGAGUGAGGCAUUUCAUUCCGUGAUAACAUGUAUGAAUCAUGCAUAGAGCUAACGAUUAGUCCUGCAUUACUCCAACAAGACUUGAUCUAUUACUACAAAUAUGCUAUUAAUGUUCUUCCAUUUUCAGUUUCCCAUCCAGUAAGCAAUGAGCAAGAAGUCGAGCUCAAUUGUAGUGAGAUGGAGUAAGGGAAGGCGGUUUGGUGGCGGAGUGAUGCUGGCGGUGGCUGCAGUUCCUACGGUGUCCAGGGCACGACUCUUUUUGCACGCCGAAUGCUGCCAAUUAGUUUCAGCUUCGCUGCACCACACCAUCAUGUGACACAUAUUAUGACACGCGCACCUUGGCGGGCUGCGACACCAACAAGGACACACUACGGCAACCCUGUACGGGGGUGUCCGCCCCCUUGGGGAUAGGUCACCUUCUUCCACAAGCCAUGGUCGACAAAGUCUGCAUCAAGACUCUUGAUUCAUCCUUCCCCCCUCUCUCCCAGCAUGAUUAAAAAUUGAUAUCUGCUGUUUUUUGUUGCUCGGUUUGCAUGUUUUUUUUGCCUUCUGAGGGAGACUAUUCAGGCAUACGAUGGUUAGAGAAACGGAUCCGCUAAAAAUCAGUCGACUGAGACUUGGCGAAGUCUCAGUCGACUGCUCAGCCGUCCGAUGCUGAGCGUGUAGAUUUGCGCUGAGGCUGGUUUGUCCCUUGUUUCGGCCUGUGUAAGGCGUGGACCGGCCCAUUUUCCUUUUCUUCUUUGUGGAACCGCGAUCCCGCGCGAGCGUUUUGCUUUUGUAGUGGGCUGGGCUGUUUUUCCGUGCGGCUUUUUUUUUUUGCUGUUUUGUUUUUUGAGAAGUGGAAGCGGCCGCCCCCAUGGUGAUUAAGAAGAGGUGAACGGGCAGUCACAGCUCAAUCCACAUUGUCUCUCUCCAUUCCCCAAUAUCAAAUCAGAAGACGAACCAGAGGACGAGAGAGGGGAAUGGCCGGCGCUGCUGAUGCAGGGGUUUGUGGAGUUUGUUUCAACCAUUGCAAGUAUGAGAGCAAGGGAAGCGGUUUCAGCAUGGUUGCAUGGGAGGAGUUCAAGAAUGCAGGGGUUGUGCCUUGCAAUGAAAGGGCCCAUUUCAACAAUGUGACAGGAGAGAAGGUGACGUUUGUGUCAAACCAACGGGCAUACACUGUAAAGUGUUACAAGGGUCGCAUAAAGAGCACUAUGUAUGGGAGAGGUUGGAGGAAGUUCUAUGAAGACAACAAUCUGGGCAAGGGUCAGAUGGUGGUGUUCCACCUGGAUGAACCUUCACCUACGGCAUCUAUUUUGUGGUUCCAGGUGGGCAACGGCUCUGAAGAUGAACAGCCUAUGGAAGAGGGUGAUCCCAUUGAAGAUUCAGAUUCAGGUAAUGAGGAUGGAGAAGCUUCAAGCGAUGAUGGUGAAGGCAUUGUUCGCACUAGGGGGCUUUUGCUUAAUGAGACAGAGGAUGCUCAGCUACAAGGGCUGCUGCCUCUCAGUGAUGGUUUCAUCGGGUUUGCUUUUGUUCACCGCCUGACAAGGACUGACAUUCGCUUGGGCAUGAUGAAAAUACCCAAGAAAGUUGCUGCUGCCACGCCGUUUGAAGAACAGGGGGUUGUUGGUAUUUCUGUGGAUGGUCGGAGAUUCAAAAAAAUCUCAUACAAAACUACUGAUGAUGGCCGCAUUGUGUUUGGCAGCAAGAAGUGGAAAAACUUCGCAGCUAGCAGAGGACUCAAAGUCAACACAGCUGUUCUUAUUGGCUUCAAGAGCAGCGAGAGGGAUGAUGUCCAUGUCCUGGUUAUCUUGAAGAAGCUUGGCUAGGCACCAGGCACAGCAACUGAUGACAAGCAGAGCUGCGUCUAUAAUACUCAUCUGUUGGGUAUUCUAUAUAUUUCUGUGUCGAAGUCUGUAUGACGAACCUUUUUUCAUUUUUAUGCCAUGUUGAACCUGUCAGUGUAGUUUUGCGUUUCUUAUGUGUCCACCAAACAAUGCGGCUUGAAUAAUAUAUGAUGGGAACCCCUUUUUCUACAUUAUAUUCAAGUGUUCACCUAAGUUUUUUUAUUGAUUUUUCA
This is an RNA transcript of Triticum dicoccoides, 7148 nucleotides long. RefSeq lists it as uncharacterized. The transcript is spliced from 7 exons. The record is from RefSeq and is a predicted model, not a curated record. NCBI's taxonomy places the organism in Eukaryota, Viridiplantae, Streptophyta, Magnoliopsida, Poales, Poaceae.